GAUGAACGCUGGCGGCGUGCCUAAUACAUGCAAGUCGAGCGAACAGACGAGGAGCUUGCUCCUCUGACGUUAGCGGCGGACGGGUGAGUAACACGUGGAUAACCUACCUAUGAGACUGGGAUAACUUCGGGAAACCGGAGCUAAUACCGGAUAAUAUAUUGAACCGCAUGGUUCAAUAGUGAAAGACGGUUUUGCUGUCACUUAUAGAUGGAUCCGCGCCGCAUUAGCUAGUUGGUAAGGUAACGGCUUACCAAGGCGACGAUGCGUAGCCGACCUGAGAGGGUGAUCGGCCACACUGGAACUGAGACACGGUCCAGACUCCUACGGGAGGCAGCAGUAGGGAAUCUUCCGCAAUGGGCGAAAGCCUGACGGAGCAACGCCGCGUGAGUGAUGAAGGUCUUCGGAUCGUAAAGCUCUGUUAUUAGGGAAGAACAAAUGUGUAAGUAACUAUGCACGUCUUGACGGUACCUAAUCAGAAAGCCACGGCUAACUACGUG
This 497-nucleotide ribosomal RNA is filed under the name uncultured bacterium. Its description in RNAcentral is "partial 16S ribosomal RNA". It matches the Rfam family "Bacterial small subunit ribosomal RNA", at positions 28 to 507 of the family's 1533-position model. The record is from RNAcentral.